GAAUUCUUUAAAGAGGUAGUCAUGAAGAAAAAGUCAGGGUGCACCAGACAGAAGAAAGAGAUUGUGCAUUUCAUGUAGAAGCAAAGUUAUGAAAGUGCAUCGGAUGUUUUGAGAAGCAAGUACUAAGUAUGGUUGGAGAUGAAGGUUUGGGGGAUGUCCAGAGAAUUGAUACACACAUGGAUAAUGAGAAGAGGAGCAUACUUCUUGAGAAGCACAGGUAAAGAGAGGAAACCACUAUCAAGAAAAUAGAAGGAGUUAUUUGAAUAACGUGGUGGACCAGAAGAAAAACCUCAGUUGAAAAAAUGUUGCAUCACUUUUCCAAAUUUCAGUUCUUCAGGAAAUAGUGCCAUGUGGACUGGAGUGGAACAAGAUUCUCACAGAACAGAAAUUUUAAAUGAAUCACAACCUCUGACUAAAAGAGUGGAAUAAAUAAAAAGAUGGAAUCCAGUAGAACCCUCAAGUUUCAGGACUUGACAGGGAAAGGAGUUAACAUUUGGAAAGUAACUGCUAUGUGGGAGAAAUACAGAGGAGUCUUGCAUGAUUCACUAAGCUUCAUUAACUCAGUUAGCCGAAAUUAUCACGGAAAAGCAAAUAUAAACAACAGACAAGCAUGGAAAUAGAAAUACCUAUUAUGCAUCUGCUAGAGUGCACUGGACCUUGAACAAAGUGGGUUUGAACUGUGCAGGUCCACUUAUGCAUGGAUUUUUAAAAAUAAACAUACGGGAAUAAUUUUUGGAGAUUUGUGACAACUUGAGAAAACUCACAGAUGAACUGCGACCCUGGAUAUAUCAAAAAAUAAGAAACUGUUAUGUAUUUCAUUGCAAUACUGUAAACGUUGAGUAACAUCACGGAACUCAUGCAAAGUGCCACUAGUGAUGCUGGAAGUGCUUCCAAGAAGCAGAGAAACGUCAUGACAUUACAAGAAAAUUGCUUGAUGUGUACCAGAGAUUGAGGUCUGCAGCUGUGAUUGCCUGCCAUUUCAGGCAGACGAUUCAUCUUAUAAAGAGAUAAGGUUCUCUAUGGAACGUUGAGGACACAUUUGAAGAACCGAUCAGCAAUGAGCAAAGAAGUGGGUUUACUUAUCCUUUUACUGGAGUAAAGUAUUUAACAUGAGAGGUUAACGGUUCAGUCCCACAAGACUAUCCCUGACCUCAGACACCAAUUACAAGUCCAGAUUGUCACUUGUGUGUCUAACAGACUGCCUGCAAAUCAGGCAUUCCUACAACCUCCUCCUAAAACUUUAUAAUAUGCUAGAAUGGCUCAUGCAACUCAGGGGAACAUAUACUGACAUUUACCAAUUUAUCACGAA
RNAcentral lists this long non-coding RNA (1309 nucleotides) under Homo sapiens (human). RNAcentral describes it as "HSALNT0335876". Lineage: Eukaryota; Metazoa; Chordata; Mammalia; Primates; Hominidae. The record is from RNAcentral.